ACAAAUUAAAAAAUAUAAUGUUCAUUCCAAUUAUUACAACUCGAAAUAGAAAAAUGUGGAAAUGUAAACCUAUGCUAACCUACACUAGUCCUAGACUACGUUCCAACGCUUUAACUGAUGCCUCGAGUGUUCGUUACGGACGUCCUCCGAGCACAAAAUACUUUGGGGCAUUCUUUAGUAGAUAAGUACAAUAUACCUUUGGGCCAUUCCCCAACGAAUUAAUACAUCUGAAUCAAACACGAUAAAUUAGAAAACAUUCAGCACACACAUUCAAACAUUCAACAAAACAUCAUGCCUAAAUUUGCCUACCCGAACCUAAACUUUUGCCUAUUAAGCUUUCGACCUAAAAUAUGAUCCUAUCAAGUUCACAAACUAGAUAUUUAUUCCAAAUUAAACAAAACAACAAUAAACCACAAUUAAACUAAAUUCACCCUCUUUAUCAAUUUCUCAAUGCCGCUCCAAUUUCAUGCUCAAUCACACGAUUAACUCAUUCUUUGAUUAAUAAUUUAUUUUUCUCUUCAACAUCCAAAACCAACAUCAACCACACACUCAAUAAAGAUUCAUGUAUGGCAAGCACACUAAAAUAUUCAUCCACAAUCAAAAUUCAAGAUAAAAAUAGAGAAUAAGAGAAGAAAUGGACCUCAAAUUUUGCUUUGAAAAAGUUGAAUUACAGGAUUGAAUGGAGCAUUAUGAAUCUUGAACCUCAAAUAUGACCUAAAAUCUACCUCAAACGAGUCAAGAAAUGAAACGUAACUUGAAGAAAUAUCAGAACCAGUAGAGAAAUUUUAGAAUCAACCUCCACAAGAAAACUCGCCAAUCGAACAACCCAACUAUCUAACCUGAUCCUAUUUUUCACUAAUUUGAACUAAAAUUGCUAAAAGAGAAUGACCCACACCAGGUUUCAUACGAACAUGUCUAGUUUGCUCAGUUUUCGAUGGAUUACCACCUGAGCUAAUAAAAUAUCCGGCUAGAGCUCACUGGUUUACAUUCUCGAAAAGUAACAAUUGUGGUGGCAGAAUAACCGGGUGCUGGUAUAAGGAUUUAGGGGGUUUUAGACCUGAUUUCGAGGGAUUUAGGAGUUUAAGAAGGGUGAAACUGGUGCUUUCACUAGAGCUCCGACGGCGAUGAAUCUCUCAAUUGUCGAUCUCUUCCCUCUCUUAUCUCUCCUCUAAUUUGACUCUUCACCCUUUCUCCCUCUCUGUCGAUCUUUCCCUCUUACUGGUGAGUGUUCUGUGUGUGUGCACAUAUAUGAUAUAAUGGAGAAGAUGAUUCAAUUUCCCCUUCUUUCAGGGUCUAUGGCUAUAUGUAUGUUUUUAUGCUUUCUUCUUCCAUAGAGUGUCAUCUCCUAUAUCAAUGGAAAAAAUCCCUUUUGUGUAUGUGUGUGAUCCGUGUCUUUUUCUUGUGGAGAAUAAAGAAAAAAUCUAGAGUAUCUAUGUAUAUGUGAUGGUCUCUAUUUUGUGUGAAUGUG
Molecule: long non-coding RNA, 1468 nt
Filed under: Capsicum annuum
Lineage: Eukaryota; Viridiplantae; Streptophyta; Magnoliopsida; Solanales; Solanaceae
Description: long non-coding RNA (CANN_LNC015081)
Source: RNAcentral